GACGUAGGAAGCAAGCGUUGUCCGGAAUUACUGGGCGUAAAGAGCUCGUAGGCGGGAUCGUAAGUCGGGUGUGAAAGCCCUCGGCUCAACCGAGGAAGUGCAUUCGAAACUGAGGGGCUUGAAUACUGGAGAGGAUGGCGGAAUUCCCGGUGUAGAGGUGAAAUUCGUAGAUAUCGGGAGGAACACCAGCGGCGAAGGCGGCCAUCUGGACAGAUAUUGACGCUGAGGUGCGAAAGCGUGGGGAGCAAACAGG
This 253-nucleotide ribosomal RNA is filed under the name uncultured bacterium. Its description in RNAcentral is "partial 16S ribosomal RNA". It matches the Rfam family "Bacterial small subunit ribosomal RNA", at positions 524 to 776 of the family's 1533-position model. The record is from RNAcentral.